CAACGUAGGUAAUCUACCUUUGAUGGGGAAUAACAGUCGGAAACGACUGCUAAUACCGCAUAAUGCAGCGGCAUCGCAAGAUGACAGUUGUUAAAGGAGCAAUCCGCUUAAAGAGGAGCCUGCGGCAGAUUAGGUAGUUGGUAGGGUAAUGGCUUACCAAGCCUUCGAUCUGUAGCCGACCUGAGAGGGUGGUCGGUCACACUGACACUGAAUAACGGGUCAG
Molecule: ribosomal RNA, 223 nt
Filed under: uncultured bacterium
Lineage: Bacteria
Description: partial 16S ribosomal RNA
Rfam family: Bacterial small subunit ribosomal RNA
Source: RNAcentral